This 124-nucleotide ribosomal RNA is filed under the name Microcebus murinus (gray mouse lemur). Lineage: Eukaryota; Metazoa; Chordata; Mammalia; Primates; Cheirogaleidae. The record is from RNAcentral.
GUCUAUGGCCUUACCAACCGGAACCCACCUGAUCUCGGAAGCUAAACAUGGUCAGCCUGGUUAGUACUAGGAUGAGAAAAGUUGGAGUAGAUGAUGGAUCAGUGAGGAAAAGCUGGGCUCGAUC